UCCAGACUCCUACGGGAGGCAGCAGUGGGGGAUAUUGCACAAUGGAGGGAACUCUGAUGCAGCGACGCCGCGUGAGGGAAGAAGGUUUUCGGAUUGUAAACCUCUGUCUUCGGUGACGAAACGAGACGGUAGCCGAGGAGGAAGCCCCGGCUAACUACGUGCCAGCAGCCGCGGUAAUACGUAGGUGGCAAGCGUUGUCCGGAAUUACUGGGUGUAAAGGGAGCGUAGGCGGGAAUGCAAGUUGAAUGUUUAAACUAUGGGCUCAACCCAUAGUCGCGUUCAAAACUGCAUUUCUUGAGUGGAGUAGAGGCAGGCGGAAUUCCUAGUGUAGCGGUGAAAUGCGUAGAUAUUAGGAGGAACACCAGUGGCGAAGGCGGCCUGCUGGACAUUAACUGACGCUGAGGCGCGAAAGCGUGGGGAGCAAACAGGAUUAGAUACCCGGGUA
RNAcentral lists this ribosomal RNA (445 nucleotides) under uncultured bacterium. RNAcentral's name for it is "bacterial SSU rRNA". It matches the Rfam family "Bacterial small subunit ribosomal RNA", at positions 330 to 792 of the family's 1533-position model. The record is from RNAcentral.